UCAGAAGCUUUACAGUCGAGCACAACGGC
This 29-nucleotide non-coding RNA is filed under the name Homo sapiens (human). The record is from RNAcentral. Lineage: Eukaryota; Metazoa; Chordata; Mammalia; Primates; Hominidae.